CAGAGAUAUGGAGGAACACCAGUGGCGAAGGCGACUUUCUGGUCUGUAACUGACGCUGAUGUGCGAAAGCGCGGGGAUCAAACAGGAUUAGAUACCCUGGUAGUCCACGCCGUAAACGAUGAGUGCUAAGUGUUAGGGGGUUUCCGCCCCUUAGUGCUGCAGCUAACGCAUUAAGCACUCCGCCUGGGGAGUACGACCGCAAGGUUGAAACUCAAAGGAAUUGACAGGG
RNAcentral lists this ribosomal RNA (229 nucleotides) under uncultured bacterium. RNAcentral describes it as "partial 16S ribosomal RNA". It matches the Rfam family "Bacterial small subunit ribosomal RNA", at positions 691 to 918 of the family's 1533-position model. The record is from RNAcentral.